GCCUGGGUGGCUCAGUGGUUGAGCGCCUGCCUUCGGCCCAGGACAUGGUCCUGGAGUCCUGGGAUCGAAUCCCACAUUGGGCU
RNAcentral lists this transfer RNA (83 nucleotides) under Canis lupus familiaris (dog). It matches the Rfam family "tRNA". From Rfam's summary of the family: Transfer RNA (tRNA) molecules are approximately 80 nucleotides in length. RNAcentral also lists the same sequence under 1 other name. Lineage: Eukaryota; Metazoa; Chordata; Mammalia; Carnivora; Canidae. The record is from Rfam by way of RNAcentral.